RNAcentral lists this ribosomal RNA (779 nucleotides) under uncultured bacterium. RNAcentral describes it as "bacterial SSU rRNA". It matches the Rfam family "Bacterial small subunit ribosomal RNA", at positions 8 to 796 of the family's 1533-position model. The record is from RNAcentral.
AGAGUUUGAUCCUGGCUCAGGACGAACGCUGGCGGCGUGCUUAACACAUGCAAGUCGAACGAGGUCCAUUCAGUAGCAAUACUGAUGAAGGCCUAGUGGCGAACGGGUGAGUAACACGUGAGAAACCUAUCCUGGUCUCUGGGAUAACAGUCGGAAACAACUGCUAAUACCGGAUGCCGUCGGAUCGCUGCAUGGCGAACUGACGAAAGGGUUACUGGAUCAGGAGGGUCUCGCGGCCUAUCAGCUUGUUGGUGGGGUAACGGCCUACCAAGGCAUCGACGGGUAGCUGGUCUGAGAGGAUGAUCAGCCACACUGGGACUGAGACACGGCCCAGACUCCUACGGGAGGCAGCAGUGGGGAAUCUUGCGCAAUGGGCGAAAGCCUGACGCAGCAACGCCGCGUGCGGGAAGAAGGCCUUCGGGUUGUAAACCGCUUUCAGAAGGAACGAAACUGACGGUACUUUCAGAAGAAGGUGCGGCCAACUACGUGCCAGCAGCCGCGGUGACACGUAGGCACCAAGCGUUGUCCGGAUUUAUUGGGCGUAAAGAGCUCGUAGGCGGUUCGAUAAGUCGGGUGUGAAAACUUUGGGCUUAACCCAAAGCGUGCAUUCGAUACUGUUGUGACUAGAGUUCGGUAGGGGAGUGGGGAAUUCCUAGUGUAGCGGUGAAAUGCGCAGAUAUUAGGAGGAACACCGGUGGCGAAGGCGCCACUCUGGGCCGAAACUGACGCUGAGGAGCGAAAGCGUGGGUAGCAAACAGGAUUAGAUACCCUGGUAGUCG